CAUUUUGAAASUUUUUYRAMCAGCGUCGUGCUGAGCGCGUUCCUCGGUCCAGGCUGGCCGCAUGACCCUGGCUAUAAGGUGCCCCGGAGGCACUACAUUCCAGGGSCCUUUGACCGGCCGCCAAACCGACGCUGGCCGCCCACGGGAGUACACCGGCACGAUGCCGGCUGACCCGGGGCGAGUCUGGCGCAAGCGCUUCCCUUUCACAUUUC
RNAcentral lists this ribosomal RNA (212 nucleotides) under Aspergillus niger. RNAcentral's name for it is "partial large subunit ribosomal RNA". Lineage: Eukaryota; Fungi; Ascomycota; Eurotiomycetes; Eurotiales; Aspergillaceae. The record is from RNAcentral.